CCUACGGGAGGCAGCAGUGAGGAAUAUUGGUCAAUGGACGAGAGUCUGAACCAGCCACGUAGCGUGAAGGAUGACUGACCUCUGGGUUGUAAACUUCUUUUAUAUGGGAAUAAAAUGUUCCACGUGUGGGAUUUUGUAUGUACCAUUAGAAUAAGGCUCGGCUAACUCCGUGCCAGCAGCCGCGGUAAUACGGAGGGUCCGAGCGUUAUCCGGAUUUAUUGGGUUUAAAGGGUGCGUAGGUGGAUUGUUAAGUCUGUUGUGAAAGUUUGCGGCUCAACCGUAAAAUUGCAGUUGAAACUGGCAGUCUUGAGUACAGUAGAGGUGGGCGGAAUUCGUGGUGUAGCGGUGAAAUGCUUAGAUAUCACGAAGAACUCCGAUUGCGAAGGCAGUUCACUGGACUGCAACUGACACUGAGGCUCGAAAGUGUGGGUAUCAAACAGGAUUAGAUACCCCUGUAGUC
This 460-nucleotide ribosomal RNA is filed under the name uncultured bacterium. RNAcentral describes it as "partial 16S ribosomal RNA". It matches the Rfam family "Bacterial small subunit ribosomal RNA", at positions 338 to 795 of the family's 1533-position model. The record is from RNAcentral.